Molecule: long non-coding RNA, 1402 nt
Organism: Felis catus (domestic cat)
Lineage: Eukaryota; Metazoa; Chordata; Mammalia; Carnivora; Felidae
Exons: 9
Source: RefSeq, a predicted model, not a curated record
CACACACACACACAUUUCCCUUUCUCAACUCUAUUGUUUAAGCCAUUUUCUCUGCUUGGGAAGACUUGUCACUGUCAUCUGUCAAGCAAAGUCCACUCAUCCUUUAUGACCUAAUACAAAUGAUGCUUCUUCUGUGAAGCCUUCCCUGCCCUCCCCGGGGAGAUAAUCACUCUCCUCUCUGCUUUCACAUAUAUUAUGGCCUGUCUCUUUAUAUGUUGGUCUCUCCCAAAUGUCUUAGAAGAUUCAUGGGGCAAUCUGAUUGAGGAAGAGGUAUCCUAGAAACAUCUACUGAUGAACAAAAAUAUCAGAAGUACGGAAUUUGGACUGUCUGAACCAUAAACAAACAAACAAACAAGAAGGCAGAAAUCUACUCUUAGAACACAUGAUACUAAGCACCUUACUGCAAGAGUGUAAAGAAAUAAAAGAGGACAAGAAAAGAUGUUUUCCCAUCCCUGACAUUUUCUGGUCCAGCAAGGACAAGCUGAAAAGCUGAUUAACAAGCUUCCCAGGAGACAGAUCCAACUGGCAUCUAGGGAUGAGAGGGCUUAUCUUCUGAUUUUUGGUUAAGGAAACCUAUGCAGCGGAGACCAUGUGUGUGCUACAAUCUGUUCACAGGAUGCACGAAGCUGCAACUGAGCCCCAGACAGGGAGCGAAAGCCCGCCCCACUGGGGUGUGGUGCCUCACAUGCCAGAAAUCCACUCCCCUCUCUCCAGCACUGCCAGGUGCUUUGCACACCUCUACAUGGAACACUCUCCCCCAUCUCUCCAUUGGGACAACUCUUACUCUUCCCUGAUGUUCAUCUUAAAUGUCACUGCCUCAGAAAAGCUUCACCUGUUCUUUCAACCUAAAAUGCAGACAACCAAAGACGUUUGAGAAAAUCUGCUGAUGCCCACCCAGCAUCCGGUUAAGCAGACAAGGUAUAGUAAACAAACCAACAGGAACAGGAAGAGAGUAGCUAUCUCAGAAUAUAGAUAUAAAUCAGUAUCUUCACAAAGUCACUCGUCCUUUCAAAAGCUUCAAAGAAGAACUUCUUCUCGUCUAUUUUAUUUAUCUCAUUUGUGCCCUACUUAAUAGAUAUUGAUUUGAUAGGCACGUGCCAUUUAAGUAGAAAAUAUGAAAUGAAUAUUCUAAUUGUAAUUGAAGAAUGCCAACUUAAUGCAGAAGUUCCCUGUGUAUAAAAGACCUUCCAAAAAUUGUCUGUAUCCCUUCCUUCUCUCUCACUGUCUGGGGAGAACCUGAUUCUGGGGCAGAAGCCAUGCAGCCCAAGAAGACACAUGCCGCUGAAAUGGUUCUCUGGAAUCUACCACUGGCCAGAUGUCUCAGGUCCUGAGAAAACUCAAACACCAUCUAAAAGUUUCCACUGGAUGACUGAGACCAUUAAAUUUUCUUUUGAGAAAUAUG